Long non-coding RNA from Numida meleagris (helmeted guineafowl), 1206 nucleotides. The record is from Ensembl. NCBI's taxonomy places the organism in Eukaryota, Metazoa, Chordata, Aves, Galliformes, Numididae.
GGGUGUCCCUGUCACCCCAGUGGGGCAGGGGAUGCGUCACCCCCGCGGGGACGGGGGGGUGGCACCGGUGUCACACCGCAAAGGGGUUGUGUCACCCGGCUAGGGACCGGGGUUGUCACCCUGCUGGGGACAGGGGACACUCUGAUGGGGACACGGUGUUGUGUCACCCUGCUGGCGACAUGUCACCCCUCCUGACACCCUGCUGGGGACACAGGGGUUGUCACCCAGGUGACAAUUUGCUGGAGACUACGGUUGUGUCACGACACUGGGGACAGGGGAUGUGUCACCCCACUGGGGACCGGGGCUGUCACCCUGCUGGGGACAGGGGACACUCUGGUGCGGACACAGUGUUGUGUCACCCUGCUGGGGACAUGUCACCCCUCCUGACACCCUGCUGGGGACACAGGGGUUGUCACCCCCCUGAUAAUUUGCUGGGGACUGCGGUUGUGUCACAACACCAGGGACAGGGGAUGUGUCACCCCACUGGGGACAGGGGACACUCUGAUGGGGAUAUGUCACCCCUCCCGACACCCUGCUGGGGACACAGGGGUUGUCACCCGGGUGACAAUUUGCUGGGGACCACGGUUGGGUCACCCUCCUGGGGACAGGGGACGUGUCACCCUGCUGGGAAAAGGGGCUGUCACUCUGCUGGGGACAGGGGACACUCUGAUGGGGACACAGUGUUGUGUCACCCUGCUGGGGACAUGUCACCCCUCCUGACACCCUGCUGGGGACACAGGGGCUGUCACCCGGGUGACAAUUUGCUGGGGACUGCGGUUGUGUCACAACACCGGGGACAGGGGACGUGUCACCCCGCUGGGGACCGGGGCUGUCACCCUGCUGGGGACAGGGGACACUCUGAUGGAGAUGUAGUGUUGUGUCACCCCACUGGGGACAGGGGACACUCUGAUGGGGAUAUGUCACCCCUCCUGACACUCUGCUGGGGACACAGAGGUUGUCACCCGGGUGACAAUUUGCUGGGGACCGUGGUUGUGUCAUGACAGCAGGGACAAGGGAUGUGUCACCCCGCUGGGGACUGAGGUUGUCACCAUGCUGGGGACAGGGGACACUCUGAUGAGGACACGGUGUUGUGUCACCCUGCUGGGGACAUGUCACCCCUCCCGACACCCUGCUGGGGACACAGGGGUUGUCACCCCCCUGAUAAUUUGCUGGGGACUGUGGUUGUGUCACAACACCGGGGACAGG